GGGUUGUGAGGUUAAGCGACUAAGCGUACACGGUGGAUGCCCUGGCAGUCAGAGGCGAUGAAGGACGUGCUAAUCUGCGAUAAGCGUCGGUAAGGUGAUAUGAACCGUUAUAACCGGCGAUUUCCGAAUGGGGAAACCCAGUGUGUUUCGACACACUAUCAUUAACUGAAUCCAUAGGUUAAUGAGGCGAACCGGGGGAACUGAAACAUCUAAGUACCCCGAGGAAAAGAAAUCAACCGAGAUUCCCCCAGUAGCGGCGAGCGAACGGGGAGCAGCCCAGAGCCUGAAUCAGUGUGUGUGUUAGUGGAAGCGUCUGGAAAGGCGCGCGAUACAGGGUGACAGCCCCGUACACAAAAAUGCACAUGCUGUGAGCUCGAUGAGUAGGGCGGGACACGUGGUAUCCUGUCUGAAUAUGGGGGGACCAUCCUCCAAGGCUAAAUACUCCUGACUGACCGAUAGUGAACCAGUACCGUGAGGGAAAGGCGAAAAGAACCCCGGCGAGGGGAGUGAAAAAGAACCUGAAACCGUGUACGUACAAGCAGUGGGAGCACGCUUAGGCGUGUGACUGCGUACCUUUUGUAUAAUGGGUCAGCGACUUAUAUUCUGUAGCAAGGUUAACCGAAUAGGGGAGCCGAAGGGAAACCGAGUCUUAACUGGGCGUUAAGUUGCAGGGUAUAGACCCGAAACCCGGUGAUCUAGCCAUGGGCAGGUUGAAGGUUGGGUAACACUAACUGGAGGACCGAACCGACUAAUGUUGAAAAAUUAGCGGAUGACUUGUGGCUGGGGGUGAAAGGCCAAUCAAACCGGGAGAUAGCUGGUUCUCCCCGAAAGCUAUUUAGGUAGCGCCUCGUGAAUUCAUCUCCGGGGGUAGAGCACUGUUUCGGCAAGGGGGUCAUCCCGACUUACCAACCCGAUGCAAACUGCGAAUACCGGAGAAUGUUAUCACGGGAGACACACGGCGGGUGCUAACGUCCGUCGUGAAGAGGGAAACAACCCAGACCGCCAGCUAAGGUCCCAAAGUCAUGGUUAAGUGGGAAACGAUGUGGGAAGGCCCAGACAGCCAGGAUGUUGGCUUAGAAGCAGCCAUCAUUUAAAGAAAGCGUAAUAGCUCACUGGUCGAGUCGGCCUGCGCGGAAGAUGUAACGGGGCUAAACCAUGCACCGAAGCUGCGGCAGCGACACUAUGUGUUGUUGGGUAGGGGAGCGUUCUGUAAGCCUGUGAAGGUGUACUGUGAGGUAUGCUGGAGGUAUCAGAAGUGCGAAUGCUGACAUAAGUAACGAUAAAGCGGGUGAAAAGCCCGCUCGCCGGAAGACCAAGGGUUCCUGUCCAACGUUAAUCGGGGCAGGGUGAGUCGACCCCUAAGGCGAGGCCGAAAGGCGUAGUCGAUGGGAAACAGGUUAAUAUUCCUGUACUUGGUGUUACUGCGAAGGGGGGACGGAGAAGGCUAUGUUGGCCGGGCGACGGUUGUCCCGGUUUAAGCGUGUAGGCUGGUUUUCCAGGCAAAUCCGGAAAAUCAAGGCUGAGGCGUGAUGACGAGGCACUACGGUGCUGAAGCAACAAAUGCCCUGCUUCCAGGAAAAGCCUCUAAGCAUCAGGUAACAUCAAAUCGUACCCCAAACCGACACAGGUGGUCAGGUAGAGAAUACCAAGGCGCUUGAGAGAACUCGGGUGAAGGAACUAGGCAAAAUGGUGCCGUAACUUCGGGAGAAGGCACGCUGAUAUGUAGGUGAAGCGACUUGCUCGUGGAGCUGAAAUCAGUCGAAGAUACCAGCUGGCUGCAACUGUUUAUUAAAAACACAGCACUGUGCAAACACGAAAGUGGACGUAUACGGUGUGACGCCUGCCCGGUGCCGGAAGGUUAAUUGAUGGGGUUAGCGCAAGCGAAGCUCUUGAUCGAAGCCCCGGUAAACGGCGGCCGUAACUAUAACGGUCCUAAGGUAGCGAAAUUCCUUGUCGGGUAAGUUCCGACCUGCACGAAUGGCGUAAUGAUGGCCAGGCUGUCUCCACCCGAGACUCAGUGAAAUUGAACUCGCUGUGAAGAUGCAGUGUACCCGCGGCAAGACGGAAAGACCCCGUGAACCUUUACUAUAGCUUGACACUGAACAUUGAGCCUUGAUGUGUAGGAUAGGUGGGAGGCUUUGAAGUGUGGACGCCAGUCUGCAUGGAGCCGACCUUGAAAUACCACCCUUUAAUGUUUGAUGUUCUAACGUUGACCCGUAAUCCGGGUUGCGGACAGUGUCUGGUGGGUAGUUUGACUGGGGCGGUCUCCUCCUAAAGAGUAACGGAGGAGCACGAAGGUUGGCUAAUCCUGGUCGGACAUCAGGAGGUUAGUGCAAUGGCAUAAGCCAGCUUGACUGCGAGCGUGACGGCGCGAGCAGGUGCGAAAGCAGGUCAUAGUGAUCCGGUGGUUCUGAAUGGAAGGGCCAUCGCUCAACGGAUAAAAGGUACUCCGGGGAUAACAGGCUGAUACCGCCCAAGAGUUCAUAUCGACGGCGGUGUUUGGCACCUCGAUGUCGGCUCAUCACAUCCUGGGGCUGAAGUAGGUCCCAAGGGUAUGGCUGUUCGCCAUUUAAAGUGGUACGCGAGCUGGGUUUAGAACGUCGUGAGACAGUUCGGUCCCUAUCUGCCGUGGGCGCUGGAGAACUGAGGGGGGCUGCUCCUAGUACGAGAGGACCGGAGUGGACGCAUCACUGGUGUUCGGGUUGUCAUGCCAAUGGCACUGCCCGGUAGCUAAAUGCGGAAGAGAUAAGUGCUGAAAGCAUCUAAGCACGAAACUUGCCCCGAGAUGAGUUCUCCCUGACCCUUUAAGGGUCCUGAAGGAACGUUGAAGACGACGACGUUGAUAGGCCGGGUGUGUAAGCGCAGCGAUGCGUUGAGCUAACCGGUACUAAUGAACCGUGAGGCUUAACCUUACAACGCCGAAGCUGUU
This 2929-nucleotide ribosomal RNA is filed under the name Escherichia coli. RNAcentral describes it as "23S ribosomal RNA". It matches the Rfam family "Bacterial large subunit ribosomal RNA". The record is from RNAcentral. Lineage: Bacteria; Pseudomonadati; Pseudomonadota; Gammaproteobacteria; Enterobacterales; Enterobacteriaceae.